RNAcentral lists this ribosomal RNA (660 nucleotides) under uncultured Rhodococcus sp. RNAcentral's name for it is "partial 16S ribosomal RNA". Lineage: Bacteria; Bacillati; Actinomycetota; Actinomycetes; Mycobacteriales; Nocardiaceae. The record is from RNAcentral.
AGCCUCCCUGGAGUUCCCACCAUUACGUGCUGGCAAACAAGGAUAAGGGUUGCGCUCGUUGCGGGACUUAACCCAACAUUUCACGACACGAGCUGACGACAGCCAUGCACCACCUGUAUACCGACCACAAGGGGGGCCACAUCUCUGCAGCUUUCCGGUAUAUGUCAAACUCAGGUAAGGUUCUUCGCGUUGCAUCGAAUUAAUCCACAUGYUCCGCCGCUUGCGCGGGCCCCCGUCAAUUCCUUUGAGUUUUAGCCUUGCGGCCGUACUCCCCAGGCGGGGCGCUUAAUGCGUUAGCUACGGCACGGAUUCCGUGGAAGGAACCCACACCUAGCGCCCACCGUUUACGGCGUGGACUACCAGGGUAUCUAAUCCUGUUCGCUACCCACGCUUUCGUUCCUCAGCGUCAGUUACUGCCCAGAGACCCGCCUUCGCCACCGGUGUUCCUCCUGAUAUCUGCGCAUUUCACCGCUACACCAGGAAUUCCAGUCUCCCCUGCAGUACUCAAGUCUGCCCGUAUCGCCUGCAAGCCAGCAGUUGAGCUGCUGGUUUUCACAAACGACGCGACAAACCGCCUACGAACUCUUUACGCCCAGUAAUUCCGGACAACGCUUGCACCCUACGUAUUACCGCGGCUGCUGGCACGAUCUUGCNGAAAAA